AAUAUUGGACAAUGGGCGAAAGCCUGACGCAGCCAUGCCGCGUGAAUGAUGAAGGUCUUAGGAUUGUAAAAUUCUUUCACCGCGGAAGAUAAUGACGGUACCCGGAGAAGAAGCACCGGCUAACUUCGUGCCAGCAGCCGCGGUAAUACGAAGGGGGCUAGCGUUGCUCGGAAUUACUGGGCGUAAAGGGCGCGUAGGCGGAUCGUUAAGUCAGGGGUGAAAUCCCGGGGCUCAACCUCGGAACUGCCCUUGAUACUGGCGAUCUUGAGUAUGAGAGAGGUAUGUGGAACUCCGAGUGUAGGGGUGAAAUUCGUAGAUAUUCGGAAGAACACCAGUGGCGAAGGCGACAUACUGGCUCAUUACUGACGCUGAGGCGCGAAAGCGUGGGGAGCAAACAG
This 398-nucleotide ribosomal RNA is filed under the name uncultured bacterium. Its description in RNAcentral is "partial 16S ribosomal RNA". It matches the Rfam family "Bacterial small subunit ribosomal RNA", at positions 360 to 775 of the family's 1533-position model. The record is from RNAcentral.